This 423-nucleotide ribosomal RNA is filed under the name uncultured bacterium. Its description in RNAcentral is "bacterial SSU rRNA". It matches the Rfam family "Bacterial small subunit ribosomal RNA", at positions 355 to 775 of the family's 1533-position model. The record is from RNAcentral.
UAAGGAAUAUUGGGCAAUGGACGCAAGUCUGACCCAGCCAUGCCGCGUGCAGGAUGACGGCCCCAUGGGUUGUAAACUGCUUUUGUACGGGAAGAACCCCUUCGAUUCUUCGGAGGCUGACGGUACUGUACGAAUAGGCAUCGGCUAACUCCGUGCCAGCAGCCGCGGUAAUACGGAGGAUGCAAGCGUUAUCCGGAUUUAUUGGGUUUAAAGGGUGCGCAGGCGGAAUGGUAAGUCAGUGGUGAAAUCUCCCGGCUCAACCGGGAAACUGCCGUUGAUACUGCCGUUCUAGAGUACAGUUGGGGUGGGCGGAAUGUGUCAUGUAGCGGUGAAAUGCUUAGAUAUGACACAGAACACCGAUCGCGAAGGCAGCCCACCAAGUUGUAACUGACGCUCAUGCACGAAAGCGUGGGGAUCAAACAG